GAUGAACGCUGGCGGCGUGCCUAAUACAUGCAAGUCGAGCGAACAGACGAGGAGCUUGCUCCUCUGACGUUAGCGGCGGACGGGUGAGUAACACGUGGAUAACCUACCUAUAAGACUGGGAUAACUUCGGGAAACCGGAGCUAAUACCGGAUAAUAUAUUGAACCGCAUGGUUCAAUAGUGAAAGACGGUUUUGCUGUCACUUAUAGAUGGAUCCGCGCCGCAUUAGCUAGUUGGUAAGGUAACGGCUUACCAAGGCGACGAUGCGUAGCCGACCUGAGAGGGUGAUCGGCCACACUGGAACUGAGACACGGUCCAGACUCCUACGGGAGGCAGCAGUAGGGAAUCUGCCGCAGUGGGCGAAAGCCUGACGGAGCAACGCCGCGUGAGUGAUGAAGGUCUUCGGAGCGUAAAACUCUGUUAUUAGGGAAGAACAAAUGUGUAAGUAACUAUGCACGUCUUGACGGUACCUAAUCAGAAAGCCACGGCUAACUACGU
RNAcentral lists this ribosomal RNA (496 nucleotides) under uncultured bacterium. Its description in RNAcentral is "partial 16S ribosomal RNA". It matches the Rfam family "Bacterial small subunit ribosomal RNA", at positions 28 to 506 of the family's 1533-position model. The record is from RNAcentral.